This 399-nucleotide ribosomal RNA is filed under the name uncultured bacterium. RNAcentral describes it as "partial 16S ribosomal RNA". It matches the Rfam family "Bacterial small subunit ribosomal RNA", at positions 338 to 734 of the family's 1533-position model. The record is from RNAcentral.
CCUACGGGUGGCAGCAGUGAGGAAUAUUGGUCAAUGGACGAGAGUCUGAACCAGCCAAGUCGCGUGAAGGAUGACUGCCCUUUGGGUUGUAAACUUCUUUUAUCUGGGACUAAAAUGUUCCACGUGUGGGAUUUUAUAUGUCCCAUAUGACUAAGGAUCGGCUAACUCCGUGCCAGCAGCCGCGGUAAUACGGAGGAUCCGAGCGUUAUCCGGAUUUGUUGGGUUUAAAGGGAGCGUAGGUGGGUUGUUAAGUCAGUUGGGAAAGUUUGCGGCUCAACCGGAAAAUUGCAGUUGAAACUGGCAGGCUGGAGUGCGGUAGAGGUGGGCGGAAUUCGUGGUGUAGCGGUGAAAUGCUUAGAUAUCACGAAGAACACCGAUUGCGAAGGCAGCUCACUGGAC